This 1174-nucleotide unclassified non-coding RNA is filed under the name Hevea brasiliensis (rubber tree). Lineage: Eukaryota; Viridiplantae; Streptophyta; Magnoliopsida; Malpighiales; Euphorbiaceae. The record is from RNAcentral.
GGGGAUUCCUGCUUGCUUUGUUAUCAGAAAUACAUCCAAAACUACACCGAAUUCAUAAAAUGCAAUUAUUCUAUUCUGUCAUUUUACAAAGUGAAUGAGGUAAAAGUUUCGUAUAACAAAAUACAAUACAACCUCUCCCUGUACAAGUUGUGAUUGAGCAGAGGACACACAUGAUGUGAUAUCUAAUAAUAUCAAAAGAACCAUCCAGUCUUAAAAUUCUUCAUGGACUUCAGGGUCCUCAUAAGCAGGAGCUUCAUAACUACUAGACUCUUCUGGAGCUUCAUAACUACUAGACUCUUCUGGAGCUUCAAAGCUUGAAUAUGUACUUGAUUCACUAUCAUACGACUCCUUGGGUACCUCGGAACUAGUUUCCUUGUACAAUUCAUCAUACACAGUUCUAUCCACUUCUAUUUCCUUUAGUUGGAGAAAUGCAAGUAAAUGAUCCACGCCAUUAACUAAAUCAUACACCAUUAAUCCAACCUUUCCUCCAACCCAACUGCCCAACUCACUUCCAACCAAGUAACCAAACCUACCCAUGGUCUGCUCCCCGAGAUAACCAACCCAAUAGGCGCCAAACAAGGUACCAGAACCCCUCAAUGCCCCUUCAGUCGGUGUACCUCCAAGAUAAAGUGCUUCAAAAAAGUCCCAUCCUGCAGAAAUUAUCGGACCAACAAUACGCUUCGUUUUUCGAACGGCCAAUUUUGCAGCUUUUGCUCCUUCUUUCUGAGCUACUUUAGCUGCUUCUUUUGCUGAGAUGCCUUGUGAUAUGGCAUCAGCCAGAGCGAUCUCAAUAGCGGAGUUCCUUGCUAUCUCCACAUGAGAGGAUCUGAUGUUAUAAGCAUACAGCUUCACACCUUCCUUGACUAAACAUGCUACGCUUCCCGUACCCCCAUCAAAACAUUGCAACCAAGUAAAUUCCCCACUCUUCGAUGCAGCCUCUUGACCAACCAACUCCCUACAUUUUUCAGCGGUGAUGCUGAGAAUUAGUAGGCCAACGAGAAAGAGAAGAACUUGAACCCUCUUCUUCUCAAUCAUUGAACUCAAAAAUGACUACACACAAACCCUAAGUAUCAAAAGCGAAUCUAAGAAGAUGGAUCUGCAGCAGUUGAGUAUCUAUGAACUUGACUCAGUAGACAAAGAACGCGUUGGGAUAAAUGAAUUUAUUUAUUUUUGC